Long non-coding RNA from Brassica napus (rape), 1900 nucleotides. RefSeq lists it as uncharacterized. The transcript has 2 exons. NCBI's taxonomy places the organism in Eukaryota, Viridiplantae, Streptophyta, Magnoliopsida, Brassicales, Brassicaceae. The record is from RefSeq and is a predicted model, not a curated record.
UUCAUGUAAAUUCCUCGUAAACGUUACGAGGACUUAACGUGGAAUUUUACAACGAAUUUACAUCUCCAUAUUUAAAAUAUUAAUUAAUUAUAAUAAUUAUAUAAAUUUUAUAAAACAAUAAUUUUAAAAUUUAAAAUAUUUGAAAUAAAAUUAAAUAUGAAACCAAAUAAUUUUUUAAAAAAAACUAUAAAUUCAUUAAUUAAAUAGAAUUUAAAUUUUUUAUACAAAACAAAAGAAAUUAAAAAAGGAAACUAAAGGCCAACAUCAUGGUCAUCGAAGUAGUUGGCUGAGGGGUUCGGGUCUGUAGACGUUCCUGCUUCGGGAUCCGGCUGGCUCAUCCCGAGAGCUGCUCGUCUCUCCGCCAAAGCUCUCUGCAAAGUUGGAUUUCCCACCGCCAUCACAUCCAGCAAACCCCUCGAGAGAGUCCAAACGCUGCUGCUGGGUAUCCAUGCGAGCCUGCAUCCGGUCGUUGUCCUGGCCCCGUCUCGAAUAGUAUGACGAAGUCGCCCUUGCAACUUCGUUAACGGAACCUAUUCCGACCGUCCUUCCCUUCUUUCUAGGAGCCACCUAUAUGUAUAUAUAUAAAAACGUAUUUAGAGUUAAUAAUAAAAUAAAGAAAAAAAAUUAAAAUUAUUAAAUUUUACCUUCUCGAAGAUCCGGUCGACCUCUUCGGUUGACAACUUGACGGGUAAUCCAUCUGCAGACUGUUGGGUAAGUUGCGUCUCUUGCUCUUCAACCCGAGACGCCACAGCGUUGAAGAGUUUCUCGGAUGCAGGAUCCACAAAAAACCCAUCUGGUGAGGCGUGAGUCAUCUUGAAUAAGUCCGAGAGAGAUGGCAAAACUCCCGUCUUCUCCAACUAAUAAACAACAAUAAUAAAUAAAUUAAAUAUAAUUAAUAAAUACAAGUUUAAAAUAAUGAAAAUUAUAAAUUUAAAUAAAACUUACAGCUUCGAGACGAAUUCCGGCAUGGGGUUUUUGGCCGGUUCUAUGAACCAUGGGCAAAUGGCCAUCUUUAUCCCUCGUUCUUCGGGAAGCGGAGCAGGAGUUGGCUUUGCGGAUGGAGCUGGGUUCGUUCCAAUAGGUGAUGAGGCCAUCCCAUGCUUCCUUUGUGACCCCGCUCGGCUUCCCCUCAUAGCCGUAAAUCUCCCACUUGUCCUUCCAAUCGGAGACGGUGUUGCAAAGACGAGUUUUCGCCUUUGCAAUAAAUUCGCUCUUCACCCUCUCGGUGAUUCCUACGGACCAGUUCCACCUUUGCUGAAAAAACAAACAUUUUAAAAGAUUAGAAAAAAAAUAAUAAUUAUUUAAUUAACAAUAUAAAUAUUAAUAAUAUGUAAAUAUAAUUACCGCAAAACAUUUAAACCACGUCGUCUUGACAUGAUCGGGAGUCAUGGUCCAGUUGGGAUAAGGGCCGUCAUAAUAUCCCUUCAUCGUCUCUGAAACGCUCCGGCUAACACGGUUGUUAGCCCCAAACCUGCAAAUAUAACAAAUUUGUUAAAAAAAUUGAUCAAAGAUUUUAAAUUAAAAAUUAAUAAUUUUAUGUACUUACCAAUGAGUACCCGAGGGUCUAUCGGGGUCCAGAACGUGUAAACCCUCUCGUCCGGGCUGGGCAAGCAAAUCCUCGACGGUGUAUCUUGCGAAUGGUGCAUGAGCUGGCACCCGCAAAUCGGGAUGAACUGCAGCCGGUGGGGCAGGCUGAUCCGGGGCGACAGGUGGAGCUCGUGGGGGAGGCAUCUGAGAUGGAAGAGGAGGAGGGGUCGAAGGAACUCUCCGAGAUGUGUGAGAGUCCGGAACUGUCCCGGAAGAAGACGAUGGACCGCUAGAGGAAGAUCCAUCGCCAAACAAAUCCGCAUACGUAGGUGCAGGAGCUGCUGGUCUCGGUCUAGGAGCCAUCUAGAAAAUU